CUUAUAUAUGUACAAAAAUAAGGUGGUUGCAUCCUAACCAGUUUCAAGACUGCUGCCACACUGGAGGAAGGGCUGCAGAAAGGGCAAAAAUCCGAAGGC
Long non-coding RNA from Neomonachus schauinslandi (Hawaiian monk seal), 99 nucleotides. RefSeq lists it as uncharacterized. The record is from RefSeq and is a predicted model, not a curated record. NCBI's taxonomy places the organism in Eukaryota, Metazoa, Chordata, Mammalia, Carnivora, Phocidae. The transcript has 3 exons.